GAUGAACGCUGGCGGCGUGCCUAAUACAUGCAAGUCGAGCGAACAGACGAGGAGCUUGCUCCUCUGACGUUAGCGGCGGACGGGUGAGUAACACGUGGAUAACCUACCUAUAAGACUGGGAUAACUUCGGGAAACCGGAGCUAAUACCGGAUAGUAUAUUGAACCGCAUGGUUCAAUAGUGAAAGACGGUUUUGCUGUCACUUAUAGAUGGAUCCGCGCCGCAUUAGCUAGUUGGUAAGGUAACGGCUUACCAAGGCAACGAUGCGUAGCCGACCUGAGAGGGUGAUCGGCCACACUGGAACUGAGACACGGUCCAGACUCCUACGGGAGGCAGCAGUAGGGAAUCUUCCGCAAUGGGCGAAAGUCUGACGGAGCAACGCCGCGUGAGUGAUGAAGGUCUUCGGAUCGUAAAACUCUGUUAUUAGGGAAGAACAAAUGUGUAAGUAACUAUGCACGUCUUGACGGUACCUAAUCAGAAAGCCACGGCUAACUACGUG
This 497-nucleotide ribosomal RNA is filed under the name uncultured bacterium. RNAcentral describes it as "partial 16S ribosomal RNA". It matches the Rfam family "Bacterial small subunit ribosomal RNA", at positions 28 to 507 of the family's 1533-position model. The record is from RNAcentral.